GUAGAGUAAGGGCGAGCGGCCGGGGUAAUACGGAGGUGGCAAGCGUUGUCCGGAGUUAUGGGGCGUAAAGAGCGUGUGGGCGGCCGGACAGGGCUGCUGUGAAAACGCGAGGCGCAACCUCGAGAUGUCGGCGGAAACCGUCUGGCUAGAGUCCGGAAGAGGAGAGUGGAAGUCCUGGUGUAGCGGUGAAAUGCGCAGAUAUCAGGAAGAACACCUAUGGCGAAGGCAGCUCUCUGGGACGGUACUGACGCUGAGACGCGAAAGCGUGGGGAGCGAACAGGAUUAGAUACCCGGGUAGUC
This 300-nucleotide ribosomal RNA is filed under the name uncultured Lactobacillus sp. Its description in RNAcentral is "bacterial SSU rRNA". It matches the Rfam family "Bacterial small subunit ribosomal RNA", at positions 496 to 795 of the family's 1533-position model. The record is from RNAcentral. Lineage: Bacteria; Bacillati; Bacillota; Bacilli; Lactobacillales; Lactobacillaceae.